RNAcentral lists this long non-coding RNA (566 nucleotides) under Olea europaea (common olive). RNAcentral's name for it is "long non-coding RNA (OEUR_LNC013672)". The record is from RNAcentral. Lineage: Eukaryota; Viridiplantae; Streptophyta; Magnoliopsida; Lamiales; Oleaceae.
GGUAACAAUAAAUAAAUUAAAGCAAUAAAAGAACACAACGAAUGUUGACGGAGAAACCCCAACUGGGUAAAAACUCCGGGCUCAAGCCAGUAGAGAUCCACUAUUUGUAGAAGGUAACUUACAGUACGUCAGAACAAUUGAUCCCCUCAAUUUUCUAACCUCCUUACUGUUUGAGAACAAGACUCUCCUGGAUCUAGCAGAUUUGUGCUACCAUCCCAGCCUUGUGUGACUUCUACUUCCCGUGAAUCGUCAAGCACUCCCACUCUUCAAGCCAGUUCUUCCCGGAUCUUCAAUCUGAGGAUCUUCUGGAAGUUUUAUAGGAUUUAGAGAAGGUGGUGUUUUGGUGUUUCAAGGUGUGAUGUUUUUCUGCAAAAGCCAAGGAUUUUUUAAUCUGAAGAGUUUAGAAGAUUGUUUUGCUUUUUGAACCUUGGUGUGAAAGAUAUAAAGGAUUAAUCUCCAAGGAUUUUAGAGUGAAGCAAUAAUAUGGCUUCAAUGUGUAUUUUCUCCAUAAUCAACUCGAAGGAGACGAAUGGUAUUUAUAUGGCUCAACAUUUGGUCUUGUGGCG